Molecule: microRNA precursor, 183 nt
Filed under: Oryza meridionalis
Lineage: Eukaryota; Viridiplantae; Streptophyta; Magnoliopsida; Poales; Poaceae
Description: MIR812 microRNA precursor family
Rfam family: MIR812 microRNA precursor family
Source: Rfam by way of RNAcentral
CCUUAGUUCAGGUCCAAACCGUUUGUCUUAUUACAAAUUUUUUUUAUUAGUAUUUUUAAUGUUAUUUGAUGAUAAAACAUGAAUAAUACCUUGUGAGUGUAUUUUUUUAAAAAAAAAUUCUUAAAAUUUUCAAAUAAGAAAUGACGGUCAAACGUUAGACAUGGAUCUACGGCUGCACUUAUU